This 468-nucleotide ribosomal RNA is filed under the name uncultured bacterium. RNAcentral describes it as "partial 16S ribosomal RNA". It matches the Rfam family "Bacterial small subunit ribosomal RNA", at positions 28 to 507 of the family's 1533-position model. The record is from RNAcentral.
GACGAACGCUGGCGGCGUGCUUAACACAUGCAAGUCGAACGGAAAGGCCAUGCUUUUGUGGGGUGCUCGAGUGGCGAACGGGUGAGUAACACGUGAGUAACCUGCCCUUGACUUUGGGAUAACUUCAGGAAACUGGGGCUAAUACCGGAUAGGAGCUCCUGCUGCAUGGUGGGGGUUGGAAAGUUUCGGCGGUUGGGGAUGGACUCGCGGCUUAUCAGCUUGUUGGUGGGGUAGUGGCUUACCAAGGCCUUGACGGGUAGCCGGCCUGGGAGGGUGACCGGCCACAUUGGGACUGAGGUACGGCCCAGACGCCUACGGGAGGCAGCAGUGGGGAAUAUUGCACAAUGGGCGGAAGCCUGAUGCAGCAACGCCGCGUGCGGGAUGACGGCCUUCGGGUUGUAAACCGCUUUCGCCUGUGACGAAGCGUGAGUGACGGUAAUGGGUAAAGAAGCACCGGCUAACUACGUG